GGGCUGCGGCAGGCUACCAUGCAAGUCGAGCGGAUGAAGGGAGCUUGCUCCUGGAUUCAGCGGCGGACGGGUGAGUAAUGCCUAGGAAUCUGCCUGGUAGUGGGGGAUAACGUCCGGAAACGGGCGCUAAUACCGCAUACGUCCUGAGGGAGAAAGUGGGGGAUCUUCGGACCUCACGCUAUCAGAUGAGCCUAGGUCGGAUUAGCUAGUUGGUGGGGUAAAGGCCUACCAAGGCGACGAUCCGUAACUGGUCUGAGAGGAUGAUCAGUCACACUGGAACUGAGACACGGUCCAGACUCCUACGGGAGGCAGCAGUGGGGAAUAUUGGACAAUGGGCGAAAGCCUGAUCCAGCCAUGCCGCGUGUGUGAAGAAGGUCUUCGGAUUGUAAAGCACUUUAAGUUGGGAGGAAGGGCAGUAAGUUAAUACCUUGCUGUUUUGACGUUACCAACAGAAUAAGCACCGGCUAACUUCGUGCCAGCAGCCGCGGUAAUACGAAGGGUGCAAGCGUUAAUCGGAAUUACUGGGCGUAAAGCGCGCGUAGGUGGUUCAGCAAGUUGGAUGUGAAAUCCCCGGGCUCAACCUGGGAACUGCAUCCAAAACUACUGAGCUAGAGUACGGUAGAGGGUGGUGGAAUUUCCUGUGUAGCGGUGAAAUGCGUAGAUAUAGGAAGGAACACCAGUGGCGAAGGCGACCACCUGGACUGAUACUGACACUGAGGUGCGAAAGCGUGGGGAGCAAACAGGAUUAGAUACCCUGGUAGUCCACGCCGUAAACGAUGUCGACUAGCCGUUGGGAUCCUUGAGAUCUUAGUGGCGCAGCUAACGCGAUAAGUCGACCGCCUGGGGAGUACGGCCGCAAGGUUAAAACUCAAAUGAAUUGACGGGGGCCCGCACAGCGGUGGAACCUGGGGUUUAAUUCGAGGCACGCGAAGACCUUACCUGGCCUUGACUGCUGAGACUUUCAAGAGAUGGAUUGGUGCUUCGGGACUCAGACCAGGUGCUGCUGCUGCCUCACUCCGGCCGGGAAG
This 1028-nucleotide ribosomal RNA is filed under the name Pseudomonas aeruginosa. Its description in RNAcentral is "bacterial SSU rRNA". It matches the Rfam family "Bacterial small subunit ribosomal RNA", at positions 33 to 1072 of the family's 1533-position model. The record is from RNAcentral. Lineage: Bacteria; Pseudomonadati; Pseudomonadota; Gammaproteobacteria; Pseudomonadales; Pseudomonadaceae.